RNAcentral lists this non-coding RNA (100 nucleotides) under Shewanella algae. Its description in RNAcentral is "TPP sequence". It matches the Rfam family "TPP riboswitch aptamer (THI element)". From Rfam's summary of the family: Vitamin B(1) in its active form thiamin pyrophosphate (TPP) is an essential coenzyme that is synthesised by coupling of pyrimidine and thiazole moieties in bacteria. The previously detected thiamin-regulatory element, thi box was extended, resulting in a new, highly conserved RNA secondary structure, the THI element, which is widely distributed in eubacteria and also occurs in some archaea. The record is from RNAcentral. Lineage: Bacteria; Pseudomonadati; Pseudomonadota; Gammaproteobacteria; Alteromonadales; Shewanellaceae.
GUAAUCUUGUCGGAGUGCCCUCUGGGCUGAGACCGUUUAUUCGGGAUCCGUUGAACCUGAUCAGGCUAGCACCUGCGAAGGAAACAAGCAUUCAGCUGCA